Molecule: long non-coding RNA, 1507 nt
Filed under: Gallus gallus (chicken)
Lineage: Eukaryota; Metazoa; Chordata; Aves; Galliformes; Phasianidae
Description: lncRNA (ENSGALG00010020367.1)
Source: RNAcentral
AAUUACAUCAGCUGUCUGGCAGCCUCAGCAAAGGGUCCUCCAGCAUACAGACUACAGGAUAUUAAGGAAAGGAAAAGAAAAAACCAAAGCAACAGCCUUUUCUCUUACAUUCGGAUAUCUUUAGGGAUAUAAGGAACCUCCAUCAGUGGCCGACCACGUAAUGAAGCUGCCACAUCUCUAUGGGCUGUGGCCAGUAUUGCUCCUGGAGUGGACCAGAGCUGCUUCUUAGAUGUUAUUCCUGUUUUCAGCAUCCAGGAGAGGACAGUGCUGGAAUGAAGCUUGUUUUGCCAGGGGAGGUGCAGAAUGAAUAUUAGGAAACAUUUCUUCUCAGAAGGAGCGGUGCUGCAGUGUUCACAGACUGCCCAGGGAGUGGUGGGGUCACCAUCCUUGGAGGUGUCCAAGAACCAUGGAGAUGUGGCACUGAGACAGAUGUAACUGAGAAAACAACAGUGACACUCCAGCAUCCCCUGUGCUCUGGUGCCCACGACCUGCAGUCAGCAUUGUAGGGUCCUGGGGAGGGCUCUGGGUGAGAACCCCUAUGUGCCUUCCGCAUGGAUGCCAAAGGACAGGAUGCCACCCAAUGGCCAGAGAUGACCCAGGUGGAAAACCUCGGUCCUAAGGCACAUUCCUGUGGUGUGAGUGUCCCAGGUACGCUGGGAGCUUUCUCCCUGUGAGCCCACACAUCCCACAGCCUCUUCUGUUCUCCUCUCAGAAUGUGGUUUUUCAGGUCUUCAGUGCUAGUUUUGGUUGCUGGACCACAGACUAAGCUUUACCUCUGGUUUCUGGAAUCAGCCUUUCACCCAGUAAGUAAGAAGAAUGACCCACAAAUGGACCGCCGUGUUUUGUUCUGCUCUCAAACUGAGCAGCAGGAACUCCUCUGGAUUCUGACCCAGCAGCACAUCUCCCAGCAAGUGAUGGGCUUGAAUGCCUGCAAGGGAGGGCUGGAGGGUUUCUGUGCAAACAAAACCCAUUUCUAACCUUGGCAGCUGCAGCAAAGAGCUCCUGGUUGUCACUCCGCACUCAGGGAGCCACACAAGAGGUCUCCUUCACACCGGCGUGUUUUCUGAAUGGCCCCUUGCAAACCUUGUAUGUGUGGGAAUUGCUACGAAAUUGAAAUAGGCUUGGACUUGUUCACAUCCACUCGCUGUAUUCAAGAUGAAAACACAUAGAAAAGCGAUUCAGAGCGACAGAACACUUUUUAAUUUAGAAAACAAAAGCUUUUCUGGAAGCCCAGAACUUCACCCAAACCACGAAUCAGAGCAGAAAUGUUGUAUUUUAGACUCACUGACACCUCUGACACACUGUUCACAGGUUGCCCAAGGAGGCUGUGGGUGCCCCAUCCCUGCAGGCAUUCAAGGCCAGGCUGGAUGUGGCUCUGGGCAGCCUGGUCUGCUGGUUGGCGACCCUGCACAUAACAGGGCGUUGGAACUGGAUGAGCACUGUGGUCCUUUUCAACCCAGACCAUUCUGUGAUUCUAUGAUUCCCAAAUAAUAGAAACUCCUGUGUG